Molecule: long non-coding RNA, 431 nt
Organism: Anopheles aquasalis
Lineage: Eukaryota; Metazoa; Arthropoda; Insecta; Diptera; Culicidae
Source: RefSeq, a predicted model, not a curated record
UUAGCAAAAUCACUGCACCUCCUUUUGGACGAAUUUUAUUUCCGAGAAAUAGAUUGCAGUGUUCUCUCCAGACGCGUGGUUCCGUGCGUGAGUGUGUGUGUGUGUUCGAUGAAAACGUGUUGGAACAAGUAAGAGACAAAAUGGACGAGAUUGAACCUAGUGGUCUUCGGCUUUUUUUUUUCUGGAGAAGAAUGUGUGCUGGUGGUGCUUUGGUGAAAUUUGAGAAAGUAUUUAUGGACCAGUGAAAAAUAUAACUAGACAGCUUUUCCAGACGAUCAGGCAGCUUUGGUCGAUUACAUAUGAAAUAUUUAAAACCCGAUCUUCAUCUGCUUGAGAAAUCAACGAAACGAAUGCCUGAAUAUUGCGGACGAAGUACUUACAGCAAACAGUCCGUGAAGCCACAACACAACAUUCCACAACCGUAAGCCACA